UCAUCUUCGGGGGUAGAGCACUGUUUCGGCUAGGGGGUCAUCCCGACUUACCAACCCGAUGCAAACUACGAAUACCGAAGAAUGUUAUCACGGGAGACACACGGCGGGUGCUAACGUCCGUCGUGAAGAGGGAAACAACCCAGACCGCCAGCUAAGGUCCCAAAGUCAUGGUUAAGUGGGAAACGAUGUGGGAAGGCACAGACAGCCAGGAUGUUGGCUUAGAAGCAGCCAUCAUUUAAAGAAAGCGUAAUAGCUCACUGGUCGAGUCGGCCUGCGCGGAAGAUGUAACGGGGCUAAACCAUGCACCGAAGCUGCGGCAGCGACACUAUGUGUUGUUGGGUAGGGGAGCGUUCUGUAAGCCUGCGAAGGUGUGCUGUGAGGCAUGCUGGAGGUAUCAGAAGUGCGAAUGCUGACAUAAGUAACGAUAAAGCGGGUGAAAAGCCCGCUCGCCGGAAGACCAAGGGUUCCUGUCCAACGUUAAUCGGGGCAGGGUGAGUCGACCCCUAAGGCGAGGCCGAAAGGCGUAGUCGAUGGGAAACAGGUUAAUAUUCCUGUACUUGGUGUUACUGCGAAGGGGGGACGGAGAAGGCUAUGUUAGCCGGGCGACGGUUGUCCCGGUUUAAGCAUGUAGGCUGGUUGUCCAGGCAAAUCCGGAUAAUCAAGGCUGAGGUGUGAUGACGAGG
This 683-nucleotide ribosomal RNA is filed under the name Klebsiella pneumoniae. Its description in RNAcentral is "partial 23S ribosomal RNA". It matches the Rfam family "Bacterial large subunit ribosomal RNA", at positions 890 to 1574 of the family's 2925-position model. The record is from RNAcentral. Lineage: Bacteria; Pseudomonadati; Pseudomonadota; Gammaproteobacteria; Enterobacterales; Enterobacteriaceae.